This 468-nucleotide ribosomal RNA is filed under the name uncultured bacterium. Its description in RNAcentral is "partial 16S ribosomal RNA". It matches the Rfam family "Bacterial small subunit ribosomal RNA", at positions 28 to 507 of the family's 1533-position model. The record is from RNAcentral.
GAUGAACGCUGGCGGCGUGCUUAACACAUGCAAGUCGAACGGAAAGGCCCAAGCUUGCUUGGGUACUCGAGUGGCGAACGGGUGAGUAACACGUGGGUGAUCUGCCCUGCACUUCGGGAUAAGCCUGGGAAACUGGGUCUAAUACCGGAUAGGACCACUUCUUGGAUGUUGUGGUGGAAAGUUUUUUCGGUGUAGGAUGAGCUCGCGGCCUAUCAGCUUGUUGGUGGGGUAAUGGCCUACCAAGGCGUCGACGGGUAGCCGGCCUGAGAGGGUGUACGGCCACAUUGGGACUGAGAUACGGCCCAGACUCCUACGGGAGGCAGCAGUGGGGAAUAUUGCACAAUGGGCGCAAGCCUGAUGCAGCGACGCCGCGUGGGGGAUGACGGCCUUCGGGUUGUAAACUCCUUUCGCUAGGGACGAAGCGUUUUUGUGACGGUACCUGGAGAAGAAGCACCGGCUAACUACGUG